RNAcentral lists this long non-coding RNA (1140 nucleotides) under Rattus norvegicus (Norway rat). RNAcentral describes it as "long non-coding RNA NONRATT019292". The record is from RNAcentral. Lineage: Eukaryota; Metazoa; Chordata; Mammalia; Rodentia; Muridae.
GUACCACUCUCCUGCCUCGGCCUCCCUAGUCCUAGGACCACAGGCAGGUUUGUUUUUUAAACAUGCUAAUUAAAUCAGAACGAGCGUUACAUUAUUGUUAUAUCGACUGAUAUUCCUUUAAAAAAAACUAUCAUAAUAAAUAACUUGGUAUCCUUCCAUACAAGGAACUUCUAGGCUUGAAAUGGAAAUUCACGUAUCUUCUGAAAAGGUAGUUGGAUCCACUGUUGGGGAGGCGCGUUGACCUGAAAGGCGCUUCAUCUUGAUUGAGAACUUCCUAACAGCUGGCUCUCUCACACAGUCGAGCAGUAACUCCUUUCGAGUCCACUUUGUAUUUUGUCCCUAAUUACUACUCACUAACAAUGUCCCAAUCUCCAUGAGUUUUCAUUGUAUGUUGACAUGUCUUUUGGGGUGUUUACUGUGCUGUUCUAUGAGCUCAUUAUUCCUAUUUUUUUGGGAGAGGUAUUGCUGUUUAAAAUUAUAUUUUAGUCAUUUCUAUAUUAGUGUAUUCUUGUAUAUCUAUUUGAAACUAUUCUAAUGGCCUGGACAACUUUUUCUUUGCUAGAGUAUGAUUUGUGUCAUUUACACAGGUUAUGCUAGACAGACAACAUUGUCCAGUGGUGUACAGGCUUUCUAGGUACGAUAGGCAAGACUGUGUGGUAAAUGUAGACUUUUAGAUUUGAUGACUUCUGUAACCUUAACAAAGACCAAAGUAGCCAGAGAGCACAGACUCAAGUCUGUAGUUGUAAAUGUCUGGUAUGCUGUAAGACAAAUGUUUUAUGUAGAAAAAAAGAACUAUUUGCUAAGUUCAUAAAGCUAUGUCUUUCGAAUACUGAGCAUGUCCAUGGCCUUGUGUAACUGUAUUUCUCCCUUAAUUCUGUAGGUUAUAGUAAAAAGAUGAGCAACGAUUUAUCACACAGCCAUGCAGGGCAGUGGGUGUGGUCUUUCCUGCUAGAUGUCUGUAUCUCAUAGGCCAAGGGGCUACUCUAACUGCUUGAAUUCUCCUCCAAUGCUUUCUUGUGCCAUACAGGUGUUGUAUAAAGAGAACCUUGGAAAAGGGAUUCCGAUCCCCAUCACUCCAGAGAUGGAGAGAGUCAAACACAAUCAAGAAAACUUUAGUUCGGUAUUUAAAAAAAAAAAAAA